RNAcentral lists this ribosomal RNA (450 nucleotides) under uncultured bacterium. RNAcentral's name for it is "partial 16S ribosomal RNA". It matches the Rfam family "Bacterial small subunit ribosomal RNA", at positions 330 to 793 of the family's 1533-position model. The record is from RNAcentral.
UCCAGACUCCUACGGGAGGCAGCAGUGGGGAAUAUUGCACAAUGGGGGGAACCCUGAUGCAGCGACGCCGCGUGGGCGAGGAAGUAUUUCGGUAUGUAAAGCCCUAUCGGCAGGGAAGAAGAAAUGACGGUACCUGAAUAAGAAGCACCGGCUAAAUACGUGCCAGCAGCCGCGGUAAUACGUAUGGUGCAAGCGUUAUCCGGAUUUACUGGGUGUAAAGGGGGCGCAGACGGCAGCGCAAGCCAGGAGUGAAAGCCCGGGGCCCAACCCCGGGACUGCUCUUGGAACUGCGCGGCUGGAGUGCAGGAGGGGCAGGCGGAAUUCCUGGUGUAGCGGUGAAAUGCGUAGAUAUCAGGAGGAACACCGGUGGCGAAGGCGGCCUGCUGGACUGCGACUGACGUUGAGGCCCGAAAGCGUGGGGAGCAAACAGGAUUAGAUACCCCUGUACAA